ACCCCCUGUCAAUGGGGAAAGAGACACCUUGUUGGUGGUGGUGUUCUUAUAUCAGUCAGGAGCACGGCAGACAGCAGUUCUUCAUCCUAGCUCAAUACCUGGCUUGGUGUCCAAAGCUGUUUUAUGCCUGGGACUCACAA
Arvicanthis niloticus (Nile rat) is the source of this 140-nucleotide small nucleolar RNA. RefSeq annotates it as small nucleolar RNA SNORA48. The record is from RefSeq and is a predicted model, not a curated record. NCBI's taxonomy places the organism in Eukaryota, Metazoa, Chordata, Mammalia, Rodentia, Muridae.